CGGCGGACGGGUGAGUAACGCGUGGGUAACCUGCCUCAUACAGGGGAUAACAGUUGGAAACGGCUGCUAAUACCGCAUAAGCGCACAGUACCGCAUGGUACGGUGUGAAAAACUCCGGUGGUAUGAGAUGGACCCGCGUCUGAUUAGGUAGUUGGUGGGGUAACGGCCUACCAAGCCGACGAUCAGUAGCCGACCUGAGAGGGUGACCGGCCACAUUGGGACUGAAACACGGCCCAA
Molecule: ribosomal RNA, 237 nt
Filed under: uncultured bacterium
Lineage: Bacteria
Description: partial 16S ribosomal RNA
Rfam family: Bacterial small subunit ribosomal RNA
Source: RNAcentral